RNAcentral lists this ribosomal RNA (253 nucleotides) under uncultured bacterium. RNAcentral describes it as "partial 16S ribosomal RNA". It matches the Rfam family "Bacterial small subunit ribosomal RNA", at positions 524 to 776 of the family's 1533-position model. The record is from RNAcentral.
UACGAAGGGGGCUAGCGUUGCUCGGAAUCACUGGGCGUAAAGCGCACGUAGGCGGGUUCUUAAGUCAGGGGUGAAAUCCCGGAGCUCAACUCCGGAACUGCCUUUGAUACUGGGAAUCUUGAGUCCGGGAGAGGUGAGUGGAACUCCGAGUGUAGAGGUGAAAUUCGUAGAUAUUAGGAAGAACACCAGUGGCGAAGGCGGCUCACUGGCCCGGUACUGACGCUGAUAUGCGAAAGCGUGGGGAGCAAACAGG